RNAcentral lists this unclassified non-coding RNA (827 nucleotides) under Hevea brasiliensis (rubber tree). Lineage: Eukaryota; Viridiplantae; Streptophyta; Magnoliopsida; Malpighiales; Euphorbiaceae. The record is from RNAcentral.
GCGUUGCCAAGUUGAGUGGGGGAGUGUGUCACCCCAUUUGUGUUGCCCCGAGAAGUCCAAACAAUUUUGUGCUUGAAGCUGCCCGAGUGAAGCCGGAAUUGUGUGUUGGCCGAGUUAUUGUGGGAAGUUGGGACGUGGUUGGCACUUGCAUGAAAGUUCCUGAAAUUGGGACGUGAGGUGCAUGGACUUUGCAUGGAGAGGUUCACGUGAGAUUUGUCAAAUUGCAUGGUAAUUGUGGCAAGUGGAAUUUCACGUGGGAUUUGUGCAUGAGAAGUGCACUAGUGGCGCAAAAGGUGAUCACAUGGGUUAGUGGAGCAUGUGGCGCCUUGGAGUGGAAGCCAUAUGUCUAAGACCUUAAUGGGACAUGUGGCGUCCUAGAGUGGAACCAGCCCACUUCUUGCGUGAAGGAAUUGCAAGUGAAGUAUGGCGCACUAAAGGAGAAUUAGUGGAGACCAUGUGAAGAUGUGAGGGGAAUUCACAUGCAUGGCGUGGUCACGUAAGGGAUUUGGCAAUUUCAUGGUAUAUGUGCAAGUGGAAUUUACCACGUGGCACUAAGUGGCUAAAGGUGAUGAGCAACUUAGUGGGGCACUUGUGAAGCAUGUGAGGCGCACCAUAAUGGCCAAGUGAAGUGCCGUCCAUUGUGAGAUUUGUGUUAGUGCAUGUGGAGCGCACUAAAUGACUUUGUGGUGUAUUGCAUGUGAUGAGCAACAUGGUGAAACAUCACAUGGGAAAUGGCAUGGCGCACAUGGCCUUGACAAGUGGGCAAGUGCAUGGAAAUUGCUAGGUGGCGUGAGGAACCAAAAUGGAUCCAUGCAUGAGAUGAGGGA